GACGAACGCUGGCGGCGUGCUUAACACAUGCAAGUCGAGCGGAAAGGCCCUUUCGGGGGUACUCGAGCGGCGAACGGGUGAGUAACACGUGAGUAAUCUGCCCUUCACUUGGGGAUAGCUACCGGAAACGGUGGCUAAUACCCGAUAUGACCAAUCACUGCAUGGUGUGUUGGUGGAAAGUUUUUUCGGUGGAGGAUGUGCUCGCGGCCUAUCAGCUUGUUGGUGGGGUAAUGGCCUACCAAGGCUUCGACGGGUAGCCGGCCUGAGAGGGUGACCGGCCACCCUGGGACUGAGACACGGCCCAGACUCCUACGGGAGGCAGCAGUGGGGAAUAUUGGACAAUGGGCGAAAGCCUGAUCCAGCAACGCCGCGUGAGGGAUGACGGCCUUCGGGUUGUAAACCUCUUUCAGCGGGGACGAAGCGCCGGUAAUGGUGGUGACGGUACCCGCAGAAGAAGCACCGGCCAACUACGUGCCAGCCGCCGCGGUAA
RNAcentral lists this ribosomal RNA (490 nucleotides) under uncultured bacterium. RNAcentral describes it as "partial 16S ribosomal RNA". It matches the Rfam family "Bacterial small subunit ribosomal RNA", at positions 28 to 523 of the family's 1533-position model. The record is from RNAcentral.